Molecule: long non-coding RNA, 589 nt
Filed under: Struthio camelus australis
Lineage: Eukaryota; Metazoa; Chordata; Aves; Struthioniformes; Struthionidae
Description: lncRNA (ENSSCUG00000017858.1)
Source: RNAcentral
CUCAGUGUCUGAGCAAGAUGCUCAGUGCUGCUGUCCCCUGCCAGCUGAUAAACCCUGGAGCUGGUCCCCUGGCACCGUGAACGGUGCAGCGCUGGCUCUCAGCUUUCUGUGCGGUACCUUGACACCUUGCAAAGUGCGCGGGGGCCAGAUUCUGAGGUCUUUAUUCAGCUUUUACUCAGCUCACUGACUCCAGUGAAUAAGGCUAGAGUGUAAUUUAGACCUCGGCAGCUGUGCAGAGGAGGGAAGGGGCACUCAUCCUUUCCCUCUGUGUUCCCUGGAGUGGCUCCCUGCUCACUGGCAGAUUUUAGAGAUUGUUGACUAUUAUGUAACAGAUGGCCUGACAGACCUCCGACUCUUUGCCGUGAUGGCUAGCUUGGCGCAGAAAAUAGCAGCACUGGAUAAUCAGUCAAGCAAACCGUGGAGCUGAGUCGUAAGGCUGGACUAAGGUCGGAUGAGCAGUGUGUGUCAAGCACUGGGGAGAGUGGCUGAUGAAAGAGCACACAGGAAAAGCUCUUCAACAGAAGAGAUGGACACAUGGAGAGUCAAGGAUGUUUUACACCUGGAAACUCGAGGCCUGAAGAUGAAGUAG